This is a long non-coding RNA of Pungitius pungitius (ninespine stickleback), 6463 nucleotides long. RefSeq lists it as uncharacterized. The transcript has 4 exons. The record is from RefSeq and is a predicted model, not a curated record. Lineage: Eukaryota; Metazoa; Chordata; Actinopteri; Perciformes; Gasterosteidae.
UCAAAAAAAAGUUAUAUAUAUGUUUUUUUUAACAUAAGUGAGAAAAUUACAUUAUAUAAACACACUUAACAGAAUCCAGUUACUGUUGCAAUUACAACAGGAAACACAUUUUACACAUUUGCACAAAAUAAUUCGUGCGGACCCCGGUUCUGACUCCUGGCAUGGCUCUGCUGACACCUGCUGCUGCUGCCAUCAUCAUUACUUUAAAUAUGAUUCAUAUUACUGUCAUCAUAAACCAACAUAUUUCUGCUCUCCCUCCCCACAGAAGCCUCUGUGGAUGGUGGGAUCGACCUGAUGGUGGUUGUCCCUGCAGUGGUCCUGCCGUACACUUGUUCUGCUACUUGAAAUUACUUGUAUCAUUUCUGUUAGAGAAAUUGAAUGUAUUGUACAUCUUUUACAUUGUUGGUUAUGUACACAUGACAUACAUUGCAGUCUGGCCAUCCCGGGAGAGGGAUCCCUCCUCUGACGUUCUCCCUAAGGUUUCUUCCCUUUUUUCCCCAUUGAAGGGUUUUUUAAUAUUUUGGGGAGUUUUUCCUGUGCCGAUGUGAGGGUUUCGGGACAGAGGAUGUGGCAAGUGUACAGACUGUAAAGCCCUCUGAGGCAAAUUUGUAAUUUGCGAUUUUGGGCUAUACAAAAUAAAAUGAAUUGAAUUGAAUGUCAGUAUAAAUUAUCAGAACUUAAAUGAAUAUACAUGGCACACUUUUAGUUCUGACUGUUAAACGAUACUUACUGUCACAAAAUAUAGUCGUAGCAAAUAGCAAAUGUCUUUGAAACUACCUACAGAUUUGAAAAUUACGUUGGUUAAUGACAGGACCGUUAAACCAAAUGAUGGAAAUUAAUAACUGAACUUGUAACAGUUUUGUUGCAAAGCACAUAUUAUGGUGAAAUUACAAACCUUGUGUUUGUUGAGAUAAAACCGAAUUAUUGUUGUAUAAGCAUUAAGCAAAAUAGCAAAAAGGCUAACAGACGAAACAUGUUUCACACAUGUUUAAUCAUACAGAGAGAACAUAGUUGCAUACCUUGCUCGUUUCUCCUCUUCUUUUCUUUCUAUAGUGGGAACCGGAUGGCUUUAACCUUUUUCUGCCCAUCUCAGUUUUAUUUGCCACUAACUUGACAAGCAACAGAUUUCCCAUCCACCCAACACUGUCAGUCACGACCAGAAGUCAAGACUAAACCAAUUGUAUUACCAAUUUUUAUUGGCCAUUUCAUACAAUUCAUAAAAAACAAAAAUGUUGCAGGAACCCGUGCCCAGAACCGUAUCCAGAACAUUUUUAGUGGGGUGGCCAAGAUGGGACACAAAGCUAGUGUGGGGUGGCCAUGGUAGACGGCGCUGUCUCCAUUUAAGCAGCAAUUUAACAGAACCUAUAUACAAUCCGUUACAUAUAUAUAAACAAUUGUAACAAAAACCAAACAAAUCUUAACUCCAAACAAAGUAUAUACUAUGAAGUAAUGUUAUGUAAACCUUUAAACCCUCAUGAACAAUAGGGGAUUCUAAUAAUAGUAACAAAGUACAAUAGAGGUAGCUAGUUCUUGCUUUUGCUCAUUCUGCUGCUACAAAAUGCUUUCACAUAGGGCCAAGACCACAAGACAAUACUUUAAGUCCAAUGCAAUGCCACCAUGUCAAGUGACUUUGCUCUUCUAGCUUCAAUGCUAAGAACACCAAGGUUGCUCAGUCUGUCAUCUGUCCUUGUUGUGCGCAAAUGGGUCUUGAUGAGUUUAAGAGCUGAGAAGCUGCGCUCACAUGGAGCACUGCUUACCGGGAGGGCUAUGGCUAUCUUGCACAGACGAAAAAGCUCGUGAAAAACAUCCUUAUGAGGUUCAAGGAACACUGCAAGUUCAACAAUACCGAACAAGUUCGGCAUUCCACUUUGCUGUUUCCUUUGCAAAAGUCUCCUUGUCUGGUGGAGUUCAUGACUGAGAUCUUCAGAGUCACUUUCAUAAAUUUCUGCUUUUAAGAAAGACUGCUUCAUCUUGAAGGAAACAUCUGCUUUUGGGGUCCAAAGCUUGUAUUCCUCUUAUUAUUUCACAAUUGUCUUUGGAAAAGCGCCUGUCUAACUCUCUAAGUAUGGUGUCUACAAUGGGGUAGAAGAUUGUCCUCCUAAAGGAAUCCUUGUCACCAUCGUUACAUUUGCGCUGACCCAAUGUAGAGGUUAUGACGGACCCACCAAGUCAGGAAUUUGAAUGCAAUUUGCUCUGCCUCUGCCUAUUUAAACGUCUAAAAAUAUGUGAAGAUGAGCUAAUUGAUACAAACAAAAGUCCUUUAUCUCCAAGAGCAAAUAGUCUUUAAACAGCCCUUAAAUCACAGAGCAAAUAAAUAAGUUAGCUUGUUCUUGUGUUAUAGCUACCUAAAUCUAGACUGUCACACCAUAUUUGAGACACUGUUAGCUCUAUUGCACACACAUCUGCAAACAAACACCCUCAGUCUUCAGUCCAGAAAACAGCGUUUCAUAUUUCAUGGCGGUAUCCUAAUAAUAAAAAAUAAAAAAAUGCUAACGUUCAACGCUUAACUUGGUUUGCAGGCUGCUAAGCUAGCCAGCUAGUGCAGUGUAGUUUGACUUUUGGCUGCUACUUAGUGCUAGAAAAAGUUUUCCUACACAUUCAGAGGGAACAACGAUAUAACUAAACAUUAAAUUACCAUACCUCUCAAUCGACAGAUUCCGGCGUUUUUAUCGUUGUUGUAUCGUCGCUGUUGUAAACUGUGACCGUCCUCCUGUUUCACGGACCAGCGGCAGGUGCAGCGCACUCAUCUCAUGGAUCACCUGACCUGCAUGGCCAAACGUCCGCUGAAAAGAAAUCAGCUCUCACAGCCUCAGUACAACCAUUACUGUGAUAGUUAAAAAUGUAAAACUGGCCCUAAAUCAGUUGUUCGGCUGUCAUCAUUGAUUGACAGCAUGUUACGUUCUGCCUCCCCAGGAGGGGAGUGGGAUUCACGCCACUGCCCGAGGACGUCCCGUGGCCAGUAAACGGGGUGUGGUGUUGUAGGUGCAAGAAUUUGACAUGAGCAGAAGUAGAGACAAACAGGCUUUUAUUUUUAGCGCUGUUAACAGGGGAAAUGAGGAGAGCUGGCGGUACCAAAGAAAAGAACAAAAUGCCUCCCACCCCCUUACCUGUCCUAUUUCCCAACGAAAAUCACAAACUAACUGGCACACUAACAAGGCGCCCUACCCAAACUUACAGUAGGUGGCCCAGCCAGGUGUAGCUAGUGUGAUUAAACAGGAGAGUAACCCUACAUGCAGGGAUGUAAACUCCAGAGCAGGGCUAAACUACUCCUCAUCCCCCUGUAAUAAAAAGAACAAAGAAAAAACACUUAAUUGAAUACACAGUAUACCAAAUCACUAGCACUAACAAUUACCCAACCAUACACCAGCACUCACAUACACACAACCAGAGUGCCACACACCCGGGUGAAACAAACACAGGGGUACAUAUACUGACAGAAGGGCAUGAGUGGAAACAGCUGAACCGGGUAACGAGCGGGGGUGGAGCCAAGAUUAAUGGAGAUCAUGGACGAUCAGUACCACCUGUAUGAACACACACACAAAACAGAACACAUACACAAACCGAUACACAGAACAGGGGACGUAACACGCCCACCACUAAAAGACACAACAUACAGUUAGUGUCACACCGACAGUACACCACGUACCCUGCCAACGAAGACCCCUGGCAACAAAUCUCUUACCAGCCUUGCGAGAGUGCAUCAGCAACAACGUUGUCAGAACCCUUAAAAUGUUGGAUCGUUAAAUUGUACCCCUGCACAAUCAACGCCCACCGCAUCAACCGCCUGUUGCUGUUAUACAUCCAGCUGAGGAAAACUAGAGGGUUAUGAUCGGUGUACAUCGUCACGGGUAAGGCGCUAGACCCAACAUACAGUACACUUCGAAGAAUUGCAAAGCUAACAGUAGUCCUAACGUCUCCUGUUCGACUGUUGAAUAUCGUGUUUGACAGGGCGUGAAUUUCUUAGAAUAGUAGCACACGGGCCUAUCGAUUCCCUUGUCAUCCUCCUGUAUCAGAACUGCUCAUGCACCCAUGCUACUGGCGUCGACUUCCAGCUUAAAGGGCUUGCUGGAAUCAGGAGCAGCUAAAACUGGGGAGGCACAAAGAAGAGCUUUAGCCGACUCGAAUGCUUGUUGGCACUCUGCCGACCAUGCAUAUUGCACUUUUUGUCUCAGUAAUGAGGUGAGUGGGGCCAUUACCGUAGAGAAAUUCCUACAGAAUGUACGGUAAUAACUAACCAUACCAACAAAUCGUCGCAGCUGGCGUCUGGUAAUUGGGACAGGAUAUGACACGAUAGCUUCUACUUUUCUAGCUAUGGGGCGCACCUCGCCCCGGCCUACUUCCUUCCCUAAGUAGGUCACUGUGGCCUUCCCAAAAUCACAUUUUGCUUGGUAUAGGGAUGACACAUCAUAUACUUUCUUCAUUUUUCUGGCCUGCGCUCGUGUCACAACACACGCAGGAAACACUGACCUGUCUGUCUCUGUUCCAAUGUAGGCGGGAUUAGGGUUGUCCACAACCUCUGGGACCGGGACCACUCUGCCCCCUGCUAUGUCGUUGCCCAGUAGAAAUGACACCCCAUCUACUGGCAACUUUGGUACCACACCCACACGGACACGGCCAGAGACGAUAGACGAUGACAGGUCCCCUGGCGGAGGGCUGGGCAGCAGGAGCACGAGAAGUUCUGACCGCUUGGACAGAGACGCCACAACCUCCUGUGCCUUCCCUGUCAGCUUGCACUGGAGUAGCAAAGGCCAGACCUCCUUAGGCCAGUGAAGCACCCCUGCUACUCGCUCGAAGGCGGAGAAAUACGAGUCCACCUCUGACUCACGGAAUGGAGGUCAGCUUCGAGACAGGCUACACGAAGCCGGAGCCUAGCAGUCUCCACCGACCAACCAGACUCCUCAGGAGACGGCUGAAACUUGGGCAGGGUUAGAGGCACUCGGGACUCAACCCCCACACCAGCCUCCGGCCGUAUAGGCGAGGAGCCCGGCGGAACCUCCACCCUUUCCAACCCUUCCUCAUCCUUGUCCUCCUCUUCCUCCUGUGAGGCAACAACACCUUGAGCCAAUAAAUGCUGUGAUAUGGUUGCAACUAUUACGGCCUUGAGUGAUUGUUUGGUUGUUUUGAUGCCAUAAUUUGCCGCGACAGCCAACAGGUCUACUUUAGUAAACUUCUGCAGCUCCUCAAGAGAAGGGUCCGCAAUAAACAAAUCGACUGCCCCUGACGCCAUGCUGUACGCCAAGAGUCCACUAACUACAUAAACACAAAGACACACCAAAUACAAACACCAAACUGAACAAUCAGGAACACCUAUACAAAAACCACAACAAGCCAGUCCUCACCCACACCCGUACCACACCACAGAUACCGACCACAGGGACACCCAAGCAGCAGAGCGAGAAUCCCGGACGAGCCUCCACUUGUUAUGUUCUGUUAUGUUCCCAAGACGUCCCGUGGCCAGUAAACGGGGUGUGGUGUUGUAGGUGCAAGAAUUGGACAUGAGCUGAAGUAGAGACAAACAGGCUUUUAUUUUUAGCGCUGUUAACAGGGGAAAUGAGGAGUGCUGGCGGUACCAAAGCAAAGAAAAGAACAAAAUGCCUCCCACCCCCUUACCUGUCCUAUUUCCCAACGAAAAUCACAAACUAACUGGCACACUAACUAGGCGCCCUACCCAAACUUACAGUAGGUGGCCAAGCCAGGUGUAGCUAGUGUGAUUAGACAGGAGAGUAACCCUACAUGCAGGUAUGUAAACUCCAGAGCAGGGCUAAACUACUCCUCAUCCCCCUGUAAUAAAAAGAACAAAGAAAAAACACUUAAUUGAAUACACAGUAUACCAAAUCACUAGCACUAACAAUUACCCCACCAUACACCAGCACUCACAUACACACAACCAGAGUGCCACACACCCGGGUGAAACAAACACAGGGGUACAUAUACUGACAGAAGGGCAUGAGUGGAAACAGCUGAACCGGGUAACGAGCGGGGGUGGAGCCAAGAUGAAUGGAGAUCAUGGACGAUCAGUACCACCUGUAUGAACACACACACAAAACAGAACACAUACACAAACCGAUACACAGAACAGGGGACGUAACACAGCAUUUCUCUUGUUUCUUGUGUUGACGAACUUUACCAACUACCUAUCAGAUCUGGGGUGGCCACAGGGGUGGCCAAUGAGCUUUCAGGGGUGGCCUCGGCCAUCCCCCAGUGCAUUGGAUCCAACAUUUGAAAAACUGCCCUGAAGCUCUACAUUAACAUCAUUAGAACAUCAAGAUCAGUAUUGGGCAGAGGUGGGACACAGUCAUUGUUAUGCAAGUCACAAGUAAGUCUCAAGUCUUUGCCCUCGAGUCCCGAGUCAAGUCGAGUCAAAGAUGAGUCAAGCCCCCAAGUUGAGUCAAAAGUCAAAGCCAACAAGUCUCAAGUCGAGUCAAAAGUCUUAACAAUUUAGUAUUGAGUCAUUUCAAGUCCU